CGUAGCCGAACUGAGAGGUUGAUCGGCCACAUUGGGACUGAGACACGGCCCAAACUCCUACGGGAGGCAGCAGUAGGGAAUCUUCCACAAUGGACGAAAGUCUGAUGGAGCAACGCCGCGUGAAUGAAGAAGGCCUUCGGGUCGUAAAAUUCUGUUGUCAGAGAAGAACGUGCGUGAGAGUAACUGUUCACGUAUUGACGGUAUCUGACCAGAAAGCCACGGCUAACUACGUGCCAGCAGCCGCGGUAAUACGUAGGUGGCGAGCGUUGUCCGGAUUUAUUGGGCGUAAAGGGAACGCAGGCGGUCUUUUAAGUCUGAUGUGAAAGCCUUCGGCUUAACCGAAGUAGUGCAUUGGAAACUGGAAGACUUGAGUGCAGAAGAGGAGAGUGGAACUCCAUGUGUAGCGGUGAAAUGCGUAGAUAUAUGGAAGAACACCAGUGGCGAAAGCGGCUCUCUGGUCUGUAACUGACGCUGGGGUUCGAAAGCGAGGGUAGCAAACAGGAUUAGAUACCCUGGUAGUCCACGCCGUAAACGAUGAGUGCUAAGUGUUGGAGGGUUUCCGCCCUUCAGUGCUGCAGCUAACGCAUUAAGCACUCCGCCUGGGGAGUACGUCGCAAGACUGAAACUCAAAGGAAUUGACGGGGGCCCGCACAAGCGGUGGAGCAUGUGGUUUAAUUCGAAGCAACGCGAAGAACCUUACCAGGUCUUGACAUCUUCUGACAAUUCCAGAGAUGGAACGUUCCCUUCGGGGACAGAAUGACAGGUGGUGCAUGGUUGUUGUCAGCUCGUGUCGUGAGAUGCUGGGUUAAGUCCCGCAACGAGCGCAACCCUUAUUGUCAGUUGCCAUCAUUAGGUUGGGCACUCUGGCGAGACUGCCGGUGACAAACCGGAGGAAGGUGGGGAUGACGUCAAAUCAUCAUGCCCCUUAUGACCUGGGCUACACACGUGCUACAAUGGACGGUACAACGAGUCGCUAACUCGCGAGGGCAAGCUAAUCUCUUAAAGCCGUUCUCAGUUCGGAUUGCAGGCUGCAACUCGCCUGCAUGAAGUCGGAAUCGCUAGUAAUCGCGAAUCAGCAUGUCGCGGUGAAUACGUUCCCGGGCCUUGUACACACCGCCCGUCACACCAUGAGAGUUUGUAACACCCAAAGUCGGUGGGGUAACCUUUGGAGCCAGCCGCCUAAGGUGGGACAGAUGAUUGGGGUGAAGUCGAAACAAGGUA
Molecule: ribosomal RNA, 1221 nt
Filed under: metagenome
Description: bacterial SSU rRNA
Rfam family: Bacterial small subunit ribosomal RNA
Source: RNAcentral